RNAcentral lists this non-coding RNA (48 nucleotides) under Schistosoma margrebowiei. The record is from RNAcentral. Lineage: Eukaryota; Metazoa; Platyhelminthes; Trematoda; Strigeidida; Schistosomatidae.
AUCCAACUGAGGAAUCCCAAAUAGGAUGAAACGCGUAUCAAACUAGAU